This 3405-nucleotide long non-coding RNA is filed under the name Homo sapiens (human). RNAcentral describes it as "non-protein coding CASC2:6". Lineage: Eukaryota; Metazoa; Chordata; Mammalia; Primates; Hominidae. The record is from RNAcentral.
AGCGGGCUGCAGGGCUGCGGGCGCUUGGUUCGGCCUGGCCCGGCCGGCGGCUCCUAACACCGGGCGGGCGGCUGCGGCGGCACUUCCGGGUUGGCCUUCUCCAUGUUGGUCUCGGGAACGUGAAGGGGCGGGGCCUCGAGGUCAGGGGUCAGCACCUCCCUGGUUGCCGUGGCGACUGGAGGCGCGCGACGCGGGCGCAAUGGCGGGGACCCGGGGCUUGAUGCUGCUUGGGCCUGGCCCAGUGGCGGGUCCUAGGGACGUGGGUACCUGCAGAGGCCGGCAGAUGGAGAUUCAGAAACAUAAGGACAACAAGAAACUUCCCCAAGGUAUCAUUAUAGUCUUUAGACUUCAGACACACACCACACCUCAAAUAUAUACACAACUGAAAGGAAAAUUAAGGAAGUUUUUCAAAGAACCCUAUUCCGAGUAAGAAGUGUGUUGCAUGAAUUUCUAAGAAAUGUAUUUCUCACAAGUCUGGAGAUGGGAAGUCAAAGACCAAAGUACCAGCAGAAUGGUUGUCUAGUGAGGGCCCUCUUCCUCCUAGAUGACAGUCUUUGCACUGUGUCCUCAAGGGUAGAAGGAAUGAGCCAGCUCUCUGGGGUCUCUUUUAUAAAAGUGCUAAUCCCAGUCAAGAGGGCUCUGCCAGGGGCCCUGCCUCCCAAUAUUAUCACCUUGGUGCUAACCAAUAUUUUCUAACUUCCAUUUGCUACUCUAAUGUUAACUCUGUUAUCUCAAUUUUAAUAAUAAUAAUAGCUGACAUUUGCUGAUGACAUGCCUUACACUGCAUUCAUUAACAUCUCAAUCUCAUUUAAUUUGAAAGAGAUAAAGCAACAGCCAAUACACACAUUACCACUUUUUUUCCUAUCCUGUUACAAAGGAGAUGAGGUUGUGGGAGAACUCUCUUUAGGCAUUGUUCACAUCAGGACACUUGAGAAACAGAUCCUUCAUAUCCUUUGGACAACUCUUGUACUUCAGUUGGCUUUAAGCAUUAUCAGAGCAUCCUUGACAUGAUGCCAGGUCCUAACACCGCUUCAGUGAAAGCUCAGAGACAAGCAAAAGAUAAUUGAUCUAUUUUGUGCCGCAUGACAUACUCGAUGAGCAGCAACAUAUACUGUGGUGUUUGGCCUCCAUAAACUGCAGAGAAAUUGAAAUAUAGUAAUAAACUUUAUGCACGGACAAAGGGUGACCUAGGAUAUCACUGAACUCUUCUGCCUUCAUAACCAAAUGUCAAAAUGCUAAUAGUCUGUUCCUUGUGGAAAAAUGUUGAGUUUUCAUUCGGGAGAUCAGGACUUACACACUAACUCAACCUACAGUAGACACUUGCUAGAGAAUAAAACACAAUAAUGCACGUAGAAUCGUUCUGUAAACUGUAAAGAAUUUUACAAAUAUGAAAUUUUAUUAUGGUUUUAGUCUUGUAUCUAUUAAAUGUAUACCUAUUAGCAUGCACACUUUUUUCUUCUAGCAUCAAAGGUUGCUUAAAAUAACAGUGGAACAUUUAAAAGCAAGAGAAUUCUAAUUUACCAUCAUUCAAAUUAUGUUAAAUCCAACUCAACUUUAUAAGCUAAGGAACAUGUGAAGGAUAAAUAAAAAUUUGAUAGUUAAGAAGAUAAAUAUAUGCAGAUAAAUUAUGUGAUGAGUCAAAUUGAUUAUUACAGGACAAUAUACUGUAUUAAUAAAACAGACUAAAUUUAAAUGUAUUGUGCAAUGGCAAACCUAGUGCCUUCUUGGAAAAACAUGCCUUAACAAGCUCAUGUGGUUGCAAGGUUGAUAAUAUCUUGAUAAUAACUUAUGUUGUUCUUAUUCCUAGUAAUUGCUGGCCUCCUUAUGACCUUCCGCCUAGUUUCAGGCAGUAGCUAGGAGAGCUAGACUAACUGCUCCAGAGAAGUGAGGCCAAGGCAUGCAACAGAGUCACUUCUCCGCUUUUCCAUUUCAAAGUAGACAAUAGGGGAAGAUAUAACAAAAGCCAAAAUUUAUGCAGUAAAGAAAAAAUUGGGGAAGAAUGCAAUUAAUGAAAGACCUACACUAUACAAGGAUUUCACUGGACGAAGUGAAGAAUAGGGAGCUUGUAAAGAAGAUCAAGAUAGUUGGACAGGUGGAAUGUCUCCAAGACCUUUCCACUCGCCUCCCCACUUGUUGAGCAUGGGAGCUGGGCAAAUGGAUGAUAGACCAUCCAGAUAAAUUUUGGCAUCUAAAAGUAAUUGUCACUUGCAUCUUGUUUCUCAAGAAGGACCUUGAAAGUAAGCAAACUCCUAGAGCUCCCUAAUCCCAUGCACCACAUUGGCUUGGAGCAGCAACAGUAGCAGUAGAAUAGCAGAGCAGGGGGACUCAAGGCCAAGACGGUCUUGUUACAGGCAACUCCCUGAGCCUCCUUCCAUCCGAGAGGUACCUGAGAACCUCUAAAAAUUUCAUUUCCCCCUGAAAGGUGAGAAAGUGACUGAGAGAGGGCUGAUAAACUAGGGUCCUCCAGGUCGGGAUUGGGAAAAUUCAGAAUAUACAUGGAUAAAGAACCAGGGACUGGCCAUGAUAGGACCUACACCUAUUACUUCAUAUGACUUGCUAAUAGGAGUCAAUGCUGACAGCCAUAGACCUUCCUGGGCUUCUCCCUGGGGCCUCAAUUUCAGUCCAGCGUUAAGAACUUAGUUUUGGUCUCAGGGAGAAGGAUAGGGAGAUGGAAAUUUUACCUGAGUUUAAAAACCUGAAUUUAUGCAGAUAUGACAUUUUCUGGAUACAUUUUGACAAGAGUAGAACUAGGGGAAUCAAAAUAGAGAUUAUGUUGAGUAACAGGGAAAUAGAGUUACAGUUCUUGCCUAUCAUCUGAGUAUAUGGACUGAAAUACUGUACCUGCUACAUACAUUGUAAGCAAAGUGAGGUCAUGGCCAGAGCCCAAGGGUUUGAGGAGCCUUCUAUGACGUGAUGAGAUGGUCUUGGGUCCCCUAUAUGAUUAGCUUGUGGUGGUACAUUAGGACUAAAUAUUCCAAAUGCAUUAACAUAAAGCUGAAGUGAUGUCCUUAGUGAACUUGGUCUUAAAAAUUAAGAGCAUUUUGGUUGGGUGACCUACCAACAACAUACAGGGAAGAGAUACAGGAUCUUGGUUGAUUCUCACUGCAGUAGACAUUGAUUUUGUGGUGUAGCAGCUUGUAAAAUUAAUGCAAAUUUGAGAUGAACUAAUAAAAAUAUAGUUCAUGAAGGUGCCCCACUACUUGCCCUACCUCUCCUCUCCUGUUACAAUAGAUCACCCAUCUUUGUUCCCAUCUGAGGACUCAGGUAAUGGACUUCAUCUCUUCUUGUCUUCUCAAGGAUUUUGCAUCUGCCAUUAUCCUUUCUCCCUCCUGUAUCCUCAGUUGUUUUCUUCUCUACUGGAUCAAUGUCAUCAACAUACAAAUAUUAUCUAGUAUUUCUCAUAUU